This 1373-nucleotide ribosomal RNA is filed under the name uncultured bacterium. RNAcentral describes it as "bacterial SSU rRNA". It matches the Rfam family "Bacterial small subunit ribosomal RNA", at positions 28 to 1381 of the family's 1533-position model. The record is from RNAcentral.
GAUGAACGCUGGCGGCGUGCCUAAUACAUGCAAGUCGAGCGAACAGAUGAGAAGCUUGCUUCUCUGAUGUUAGCGGCGGACGGGUGAGUAACACGUGGGUAACCUACCUAUAAGACUGGGAUAACUCCGGGAAACCGGGGCUAAUACCGGAUAAUAUUUUGAACCGCAUGGUUCAAUAGUGAAAGACGGUUUCGGCUGUCACUUAUAGAUGGACCCGCGCCGUAUUAGCUAGUUGGUAAGGUAACGGCCUACCAAGGCGACGAUACGUAGCCGACCUGAGAGGGUGAUCGGCCACACUGGAACUGAGACACGGUCCAGACUCCUACGGGAGGCAGCAGUAGGGAAUCUUCCGCAAUGGGCGAAAGCCUGACGGAGCAACGCCGCGUGAGUGAUGAAGGUCUUCGGAUCGUAAAACUCUGUUGUUAGGGAAGAACAAAUUUGUUAGUAACUGAACAAGUCUUGACGGUACCUAACCAGAAAGCCACGGCUAACUACGUGCCAGCAGCCGCGGUAAUACGUAGGUGGCAAGCGUUAUCCGGAAUUAUUGGGCGUAAAGCGCGCGUAGGCGGUUUCUUAAGUCUGAUGUGAAAGCCCACGGCUCAACCGUGGAGGGUCAUUGGAAACUGGGAAACUUGAGUGCAGAAGAGGAGAGUGGAAUUCCAUGUGUAGCGGUGAAAUGCGCAGAGAUAUGGAGGAACACCAGUGGCGAAGGCGGCUCUCUGGUCUGUAACUGACGCUGAUGUGCGAAAGCGUGGGGAUCAAACAGGAUUAGAUACCCUGGUAGUCCACGCCGUAAACGAUGAGUGCUAAGUGUUAGGGGGUUUCCGCCCCUUAGUGCUGCAGCUAACGCAUUAAGCACUCCGCCUGGGGAGUACGACCGCAAGGUUGAAACUCAAAGGAAUUGACGGGGACCCGCACAAGCGGUGGAGCAUGUGGUUUAAUUCGAAGCAACGCGAAGAACCUUACCAAAUCUUGACAUCCUUUGACCGCUCUAGAGAUAGAGUCUUCCCCUUCGGGGGACAAAGUGACAGGUGGUGCAUGGUUGUCGUCAGCUCGUGUCGUGAGAUGUUGGGUUAAGUCCCGCAACGAGCGCAACCCUUAAGCUUAGUUGCCAUCAUUAAGUUGGGCACUCUAGGUUGACUGCCGGUGACAAACCGGAGGAAGGUGGGGAUGACGUCAAAUCAUCAUGCCCCUUAUGAUUUGGGCUACACACGUGCUACAAUGGAUAAUACAAAGGGCAGCGAAUCCGCGAGGCCAAGCAAAUCCCAUAAAAUUAUUCUCAGUUCGGAUUGUAGUCUGCAACUCGACUACAUGAAGCUGGAAUCGCUAGUAAUCGUAGAUCAGCAUGCUACGGUGAAUACGUUCCCGGGUCU